This 335-nucleotide unclassified non-coding RNA is filed under the name soil metagenome. RNAcentral describes it as "partial contains 5.8S ribosomal RNA, internal transcribed spacer 2, and large subunit ribosomal RNA". The stretch from base 1 to 120 matches the Rfam family "5.8S ribosomal RNA", at positions 35 to 154 of the family's 154-position model. The record is from RNAcentral.
GAUGAAGAACGUAGCGAAAUGCGAUAAGUAAUGUGAAUUGCAGAAUUCAGUGGAUCAUCGAAUCUUUGAACGCACAUUGCGCCCGCCAGUAUUCUGGCGGGCAUGCCUGUUCGAGCGUCAUUUCAACCAUCAAGCCCCCGGCUUGUGUUGGGGACCUGCGGCUGCCGCAGGCCCUGAAAACCAGUGGCGGGCUCGCUAGUCACUCCGAGCGUAGUAAUACAUCUCGCUCAGGGCGUGCUGCGGGUUCCGGCCGUUAAAAAGCCUUAUUUACCCAAGGUUGACCUCGGAUCAGGUAGGAAGACCCGCUGAACUUAAGCAUAUCAAUAAGCGGAGGA